AGAUUGACCCUGCGCCAGGCCUUAACACAAGCAAGUCGGACGGAUGAAGGGACUGCUCCGGGAUCCAACGGCGGACCGGGUGAAUUAAUGCCCUAGGAAUCUGCCUGGUAUGGGGGAUAACCGUCCGGAAACGGGCGCUUAUCCGCAUACGUCCUGAGGGAGAAAUGGGGAUCUUCGGACCUCACGCUAUCAGAUGAGCCUAGGUCGGAUUAGCUAUUGUGGGUAAAGGCCUACCAAGGCGACGAUCCGUAACUGGUCUGAGAGGAUGAUCAGUCACACUGGAACUGAGACACGGUCCAGACUCCUACGGGAGGCACAUGGGGAAUAUUGGACAAUGGGCGAAAGCCUGAUCCAGCCAUGCCGCGUGUUGAAGAAGGUCUUCGGAUUGUAAAGCACUUUAAUUGGGAGGAAGGGCAGUAAGUUAAUACCUUGCUGUUUUGACGUUACCACAGAAUAAGCACCGGCUAACUUCGUGCCAGCAGCCGCGGUAAUACGUAGGUGGCAAGCGUUAUCCGGAAUUAUCGGGCGUAAAGCGCGCGUAGGUGGUUCAGCAAGUUGGAUGUGAAAUCCCCGGGCUCAACCUGGGAACUGCAUCCAAAACUACUGAGCUAGAGUACGGUAGAGGGUGGUGGAAUUUCCUGUGUACGGUGAAAUGCGUAGAUAUAGGAAGGAACACCAGUGGCGAAGGCGACCACCUGGACUGAUACUGACACUGAGGUGCGAAAGCGUGGGGAGCAAACAGGAUUAGAUACCCUGGUAGUCCACGCCGUAAACGAUGUCGACUAGCCGUUGGGAUCCUUGAGAUCUUAGUGGUGCAGCUAACGCGAUAAGUCGACCGCCUGGGGAGUACGCCGCAAGUUUA
RNAcentral lists this ribosomal RNA (862 nucleotides) under uncultured Pseudomonadales bacterium. RNAcentral describes it as "bacterial SSU rRNA". It matches the Rfam family "Bacterial small subunit ribosomal RNA", at positions 26 to 896 of the family's 1533-position model. Lineage: Bacteria; Pseudomonadati; Pseudomonadota; Gammaproteobacteria; Pseudomonadales. The record is from RNAcentral.